ACACACCUUGCCCUUGUAGUGAGCUGCAGGAGUGGUGCUCCAAGAGUCAGGCCUUGCCUGGGUGUCGGGGUGUGGGCUUGGCCCUUUGCGGUGCUGAGGGUGUCUGGUUUCCUUUGGAGCUGCUCGCGGAGGAGAAAGGAGAGGAGUCGAGUGGAACUGCGAGUCAAGAGUGAGCAAGAGGAGGAGACGAGGAAGAGCGGAGAGGAGGGCAGAGGAGGGCGCUCUGGGCCAAGAGACCCCCCUCCGGAGCGGCGCGGCGCAAGCUUCAAUCAAGACUGCCGGACCCCUCGUCACCGACUCGGCAGCGGCCGCUGCUUGGGCACAGAGGAGAGAUCAGAAGGACCUCUGCAUCCUGAGAAGCAUAUUCAUCUUGUCCUGAAAUGUCUUGUAUAUACCCUUUUUCCGUUUACUCAGUGUUACCGUUACCCAAGAAAAUGGUUUGUCAAGCUCUAUGUUAUAGUGAGCAACUUUCACACCCAACUCUGCCUGCAUUCAUGGAAACAAAAUUGCACUGCUGAGAUGGUUUUAAUUUUGCCCCAACCACUGGAGUUUUUGCUCUUAUGAGGCUAGUGUGGGGUUUGUCCUUUGCGGUUCCACGUGGCAUAUCAGGGACUGUUUUGUGUCUUUCAAGUAUGAGGUUUUAAUGCAGUGUUGUUGGGGAAGUUUUGUGUUUGGAGUUUGGUAGUACUGCAUAGUUGUUGUGGAUGUUUUAUGGUAGGAGGUAUUGCAGUACUGCAGCAUUGUGGGAGUGUUAUGGUAGGGGUAUGGUGUUACUGCAGUGCUGUAGGAGGAUUUAUUUUGGUUUAUCUUUGGCCUGCAGUAUAGGACAGUGUGGUUAGCAUAUGAAAGUCGGAGAGCUGAAGAGGCCUGUUAGGGGCAGAGUUGAGGUUGCCUGUGCAGUGCAACGGGACUAGGGUGCAGAGUUCGUCUGAGUUGGGUUUUGAAAGCUGCCUGGCUGUGAGGCCUCCCUUGCUUCUCCAGCUUCUGUCCUUGUGCCUUACGGGGCUAAGGCACGGCCUGCGUAACUGAAGUGCUUCAGUGAUGCACUACAGGGUUUAACCUCACUGACUUCAAGAGAACGUGUAACUAAAUUCCAGAAAAUACAGCUAGAACUUCUGUUAAGCAUCUGCUGCACUCUUCUCUGCCCACAAUCAAUUAGGGUAAAAGUCCCCCGUUUACCCUGUCCUGUUUUUACUGUCUGCUCUGUAUCUCAGCUGGACGAAAGCAAAUAAAUAAAUAAAUGAAAU
Molecule: long non-coding RNA, 1247 nt
Organism: Struthio camelus australis
Lineage: Eukaryota; Metazoa; Chordata; Aves; Struthioniformes; Struthionidae
Source: Ensembl